RNAcentral lists this unclassified non-coding RNA (332 nucleotides) under soil metagenome. Its description in RNAcentral is "partial contains 5.8S ribosomal RNA, internal transcribed spacer 2, and large subunit ribosomal RNA". The stretch from base 1 to 120 matches the Rfam family "5.8S ribosomal RNA", at positions 35 to 154 of the family's 154-position model. The record is from RNAcentral.
GAUGAAGAACGUAGCGAAAUGCGAUAAGUAGUGUGAAUUGCAGAAUUCAGUGAAUCAUCGAAUCUUUGAACGCACAUUGCGCCCUUUGGUAUUCCUUAGGGCAUGCCUGUUCGAGCGUCAUUUAAACCUUCAAGCUAAGCUUGGUGUUGGGUGACUGUCCGCUUCACGGCGGACUCGCCUCAAAAUUAUUGGCGGCCGGUACAUUGGCUUCGAGCGCAGCAGAAACGCGAACUCGGGCCCGUCGUAUUGGCUCCCAGAAGCUAUCUUCACAAUUUUGACCUCGGAUCAGGUAGAGAUACCCGCUGAACUUAAGCAUAUCAAUAAGCGGAGGA